This 337-nucleotide unclassified non-coding RNA is filed under the name soil metagenome. Its description in RNAcentral is "partial contains 5.8S ribosomal RNA, internal transcribed spacer 2, and large subunit ribosomal RNA". The stretch from base 1 to 120 matches the Rfam family "5.8S ribosomal RNA", at positions 35 to 154 of the family's 154-position model. The record is from RNAcentral.
GAUGAAGAACGCAGCGAAAUGCGAUAAGUAGUGUGAAUUGCAGAAUUCAGUGAAUCAUCGAAUCUUUGAACGCACAUUGCGCCCCUUGGUAUUCCAUGGGGCAUGCCUGUUCGAGCGUCAUUUGUACCUUCAAGCUCUGCUUGGUGUUGGGUGUUUGUCUCGCCUCUGCGUGUAGACUCGCCUCAAAACAAUUGGCAGCCGGCGUAUUGAUUUCGGAGCGCAGUACAUCUCGCGCUUUGCACUCAGAACGACGACGUCCAAAAGUACAUUUUUACACUCUUGACCUCGGAUCAGGUAGGGAUACCCGCUGAACUUAAGCAUAUCAAUAAGCGGAGGA